RNAcentral lists this small RNA (1574 nucleotides) under Pongo abelii (Sumatran orangutan). RNAcentral's name for it is "retained intron". The record is from RNAcentral. Lineage: Eukaryota; Metazoa; Chordata; Mammalia; Primates; Hominidae.
AACAUUUCAAGGGACACAAUUCACUCCAAGUCUCUUCCCUUUCCAAGCCGCUUCCGAAGUGCUCCCGGUGCCCGCAACUCCUGAUCCCAACCCGCGAGAGGAGCCUCUGCGACCUCAAAGCCUCUCUUCCUUCUCCCUCGCUUCCCUCCUCCUCUCGCUACCUCCACCUCCACCGCCACCUCCACCUCCGGCACCCACCCACCGCCGCCGCCGCCGCCGCCACCGGCAGCGCCUCCUCCCCUCCUCCUCCUCCUCCCCUCUUCUCUUUUUGGCAGCCGCUGGACGUCCGGUGUUGAUGGUGGCAGCGGCGGCAGCCUAAGCAACAGCAGCCCUUGCAGCCCGCCAGCUCGCGCUCGCCCCGCCGGCGUCCCCAGCCCUAUCACCUCAUCUCCCGAAAGGUGCUGGGCAGCUCCGGGGCGGUCGAGGCGAAGCGGCUGCAGCGGCGGUAGCGGCGGCGGGAGGCAGGAUGAGCGCACGCGGUGAGGGCGCGGGGCAGCCGUCCACUUCAGCCCAGGGACAACCUGCCGCCCCAGCGCCUCAGAAGAGAGGACGCGGCCGCCCCAGGAAGCAGCAGCAAGAACCAACCGGUGAGCCCUCUCCUAAGAGACCCAGGGGAAGACCUAAAGGCAGCAAAAACAAGAGUCCCUCUAAAGCAGCUCAAAAGGUGAGAUUUCUCAAGUCAAGCUCUCCUAACUUCAUCAAUGACUGACUACAGGAGCCUGCCUGUAACUUUCCCAUUCUAACUCCGCAGCUAGGAAUUUGUUCCAACUGGGUAACGCAAGACUCAUUUCUUACAUUUAACAUUAGUUAGAUAUGAGUUAACCUUUUUUCUAAGCAGAUGCUCAGCAUAAAAAGUUUAUGAAGAUACUUAACAGUGUUGUUUUUAAACAAACAGCCACCAAAUAAUUUGAACCUUAAAACGGGUAGAAGUGAGGAAGGAAGGAGUGGUGGGGGGGCGGGAUGGAAAAUGACACAAUUAAUAUUUGCACCAGUUGUAAAUAGUUAAAAACAAAUCAAAACUAUAGAUUUUGCCUGGUGGUAAAGUUUUUGCAAUUUCCUCUGAAAAAUGAUAGAGAUUGAUUUACUUUGUGCUUAUUACAUGGCUACUGCAAACCAAAUCCCCCUAUUAAAGUACUUUGCCAAAUAGAUGAUAAUUAGAAGUAAAUCUAGUUGUAGCAUAGUGGAAAAAUUUCAUGAAUUUUACAGCUUUAAUUUUGAUAAUAAAGUAUACUGUUUGUUUUACAAUAAACCUGCAGUAUAGUAUAUCAUAAUCUCAAAAUGCCUUUUCAUCAAGUGACGUAGAAAUGUCUGAAUUGGACAAUGAGACUUUUUAAAACAAAUAUCUCUUUUUGGGCAGAAUAGAACCCAGUUAAGUGUAAUAUUCAGUGUUUUUCUUAAUAAAUUUAAACUUGCAGUUUAAGAUAACUUCAGGUUGGCUGUGUUUAAGCUAGCAAAGAGGAACUAUGUCAGGGUUAAUGCAUGUAUAGAGAAGUACCAGUCACUUUUUUGACUUUAUAAAUAAAUUGGAAAAAAAAGUUUCUGCGUCUUAUUUGUAGGUUUGUGUAGUAAUUGAG